Long non-coding RNA from Penaeus chinensis, 314 nucleotides. RefSeq lists it as uncharacterized. NCBI's taxonomy places the organism in Eukaryota, Metazoa, Arthropoda, Malacostraca, Decapoda, Penaeidae. The transcript has 3 exons. The record is from RefSeq and is a predicted model, not a curated record.
CAGCAGGUUGCGUCAAAGUACCUAGGAAUUGCUGCAUUCUCGGAAAGCUUUGUCUCCAUAUUUCUACUGCUUUACAUCGGCCCCCUCUCCGACAGGUACGGUCGCAAGCCCUUCCUGUACCUGAGUCUGGUGAUGAAAACACUGAGCGUUGUUUUAUUUGUCUUCGCCUCAGCGUUCAUUUACUCUCCUACCGAGCUCACUGUGGUGGCGCCGUUCCUCUACUCCCUCGGCGGCGGGAUCGGCACUUGCCUCAUGCUCGUCUUCGCCUGCAUCUCUGACGUCACCACGGAGGCCAACCGCACCUACAGGCUGGG